RNAcentral lists this long non-coding RNA (1428 nucleotides) under Oryza sativa (Asian cultivated rice). RNAcentral describes it as "long non-coding RNA (OSAT_LNC000512)". The record is from RNAcentral. Lineage: Eukaryota; Viridiplantae; Streptophyta; Magnoliopsida; Poales; Poaceae.
AGUCCCGGUUGGUAACCCUUUGUAGUCUCGGUUUUUCAACCGGGACGGACUAAAGAUCGCAAUCUUUAGUCCCGAUUCAAAUAAUCGGGACUAAAAAUAUGGUCCCGGUUGUUGUUACCAACCGGGACUAAAAAAGUUUUGUUUGUUUUCUUUUCCUUUCAUCCGGUUGGCCUUUUUCCUUUUGUAUUGUUCUUUAGCUUUCGCUCGUGGAUCAAAUGAAUAAAAUCAACAACAGAGCCUAAAUCAUAGAUCGAAUGAAUAAAAUCAAACAACAAAACAUCCAUAUUCUUUACACUUGUUCAGAUCUACAACAUCUUCAGAACAAUGAGCAUUCAUCACAGAGAACAAAGAGAGCAUUCAUCACAGAGAAUAGAGAAAGAAAAAAGAAAGUUCACAUCUACAACAUCUCCAGCAUUCAUCAGAUAGCAUAGAGAAAAGAAAAAAAAAGUUCUCCGCCUGCCGCCGCCGCCCUCCCGACCGGCGCCGGCUGUCCCCGACGCAGCCGGCUGCCGCCCUCUCGACCGGCGCCGGCCACCGCCACCUCGACCGGCGCCAGUCGCCCCCAUCUCGCCGCCCCGCGCCCGAUGCAGCCGGCCACCGCCCCUCUCGACCGGCGCCGGUCGCCGCCGCCCUCGAUGCAGCCCGCCGCCGCCUCCAUCUCGUCGCCUCGCGUCGGGCCGCCGCGGAGGCCUCCAUCCCGUCGCCCUGUCCGGGGCCGCCGUGGCCGGCCUCCAUCCCGCCGCCCCGCUGGAGGGGAGGAGAGGGGAGGAGGAGAUGGGGUGAGAGAAGAAGGAAGAGAAGGAUGGGAGGAAAGGAGGAGAGAAGAAGAUAAGAUGGAGAGGAUGGCUGGAUGGGAGAGGAGGGGAUAAGGAUGGAAUUAAUAGGAGACUUUCAUGCGCGCGCGUGGAUAGAGGCUUUGUUUUACCGGUUGUUAGAAUUUUUAGUCCCGGUUACACCAACCGGGACUAAAGUUAGGAUCACCAACCGGGACUAAAGAUCAAAUAUGCCCACUGUAGCCACCAACCAGGAUUAAAGAUGAUUUUUAGUGGAAUCGGGACUAUUGUGGAUUUUGGUCGGCCGACCAAAAAUGGUUUCUCCACCAGUGGUAGCAAAGCCACAACACUGCAAUGCCACUUGUACGUCCGGUUCCAAUUUAUGUGUUUAGUUCACGUUAAAAUUGAAAGUUUGGUUGAAAUUAGAAUGAUGUGACAGAAAAGUUGAAAGUUUAUAUGUGUAGAAAAGUUUUUAUGUGAUAAAAAAGUUAAAAGUUUGUAACUAAACUCGGCCUUAAGCGCCGGUUGAUUCUCGCAUGUACUAGUACACAGUACACCAGUACUACUGUACCACUAGCACUACUGAUCGCGCUAAUUUUUCGCUUAAACAAACGGGAAUCAGAGGGAGCGCGACAGGCGACAGCCGCCGGGGACA